This 301-nucleotide ribosomal RNA is filed under the name uncultured bacterium. RNAcentral's name for it is "partial 16S ribosomal RNA". It matches the Rfam family "Bacterial small subunit ribosomal RNA", at positions 509 to 809 of the family's 1533-position model. The record is from RNAcentral.
CAGUAGCCACGGGAAUACGUAGGUGGCGAGCGUUGUCCGGAAUCAUUGGGCGUAAAGGGAGCGCAGGCGGGCAUGUAAGUCUUUCUUAAAAGUUCGGGGCUCAACCCCGUGAUGGGAAAGAAACUACAUGUCUUGAGUACAGGAGAGGAAAGCGGAAUUCCCAGUGUAGCGGUGAAAUGCGUAGAUAUUGGGAGGAACACCAGUGGCGAAGGCGGCUUUCUGGACUGCAACUGACGCUGAGGCUCGAAAGCCAGGGGAGCGAACGGGAUUAGAUACCCGAGUAGUCCCUGUCUCUUAUACA